Molecule: ribosomal RNA, 497 nt
Filed under: uncultured bacterium
Lineage: Bacteria
Description: partial 16S ribosomal RNA
Rfam family: Bacterial small subunit ribosomal RNA
Source: RNAcentral
GAUGAACGCUGGCGGCGUGCCUAAUACAUGCAAGUCGAGCGAACAGACGAGGAGCUUGCUCCUCUGACGUUAGCGGCGGACGGGUGAGUAACACGUGGAUAACCUACCUAUAAGACUGGGAUAACUUCGGGAAACCGGAGCUAAUACCGGAUAAUAUAUUGAACCGCAUGGUUCAAUAGUGAAAGACGGUUUUGCUGUCACUUAUAGAUGGAUCCGCGCCGCAUUAGCUAGUUGGUAAGGUAACGGCUUACCAAGGCAACGAUGCGUAGCCGACCUGAGAGGGUGAUCGGUCACACUGGAACUGAGACACGGUCCAGACUCCUACGGGAGGCAGCAGUAGGGAAUCUUCCGCAAUGGGCGAAAGCCUGACGGAGCAACGCCGCGUGAGUGAUGAAGGUCUUCGGAUCGUAAAACUCUGUUAUUAGGGAAGAACAAAUGUGUAAGUAACUAUGCACGUCUUGACGGUACCUAAUCAGAAAGCUACGGCUAACUACGUG